Chelonus insularis is the source of this 1548-nucleotide long non-coding RNA. RefSeq lists it as uncharacterized. The transcript has 5 exons. The record is from RefSeq and is a predicted model, not a curated record. Lineage: Eukaryota; Metazoa; Arthropoda; Insecta; Hymenoptera; Braconidae.
UAAAUACUUAUAGAGAAAUGUGAAAGUAAGAAUAAAUGUUCAUGAAUGUCUACAUUUAUUAAUUAAUGGAAUAGAAAAAAUACUGCAUUAAUAAGUUUAGAUUGUGUGAUUAUCAUUGUUAAAAAGCCAAAAUGGUGACUAGAUGAGUUUCGAGGGAGAUUAUGAUUUUCCUAAAUGAUCAUUAGCAGCAAUUCAUAUGAUUCAUGUUUACUACAAACUAGAGUUUAAUAAUCAGUAAUUAACUGAAAAUUCGAGAUGAGAAACAAAGCAAGGACAUUAAGAGUAAUAUUUCACUGAUACCAAUGUGCACCAAGUGUUUUGGAUAUCUAGAGUUCUAAUUUGCGGCUACUAUACACCAUGGAAAAAAUAUUGAAGUUUAAAGGAGGUGCUAAAAGGGAAUCAUUAUCAGAUUCAUAAAGAUGAAGAGACGUUGAAAAAUUGUGCAACGGCGUAUGGCUAAUGAUAUUGAUAUUGAAGAGACAAGAGGAGUUAAGCUAUAUCCUUCAGUUAAUUUUUUUUUCGGUACUCUUUACCUUUCUCCAGUGUUGAAAAAACUAGAGCACGAAAAAAGAUAAGACAUUCUCCGACAGGGACAGUCCUGGAACGGUAGCUUCGUGAUAAAUCGACUGGAAGACACGAUAGAAUCGAACGGAUGUACGGGUAAAUCGCUAUUCCGGGAAAAUUCAAUGGCUUGAAGGAAAUUUCUCUUUCCUUCUUUUAACUUUAGCAAUGAUGUUCCAAGUUGUCAUUGCUAGCAAAAAUGGUAGAACUUGAAAUGUCUCGUUUUGAGGAACAAACACGUCGACUCUCAAGCAACGGGUUGAAUUACAUACUCGUGAAUAGAAACGGAAACUCCCUUUAUUCUGACCCAACUGGUCUCUUCGUAUACUUUAGCUGGUACUUGUAGAACAACCGUAGAGACGAAGAGGUGGAGAUAGAAAGAGUAAUACUAAGGGGAAGCAAAAAAGCAGUAGACAAAUGAAACCAAAAUAUUGGGACAAGUUUGACAAAGCUCUUUGAAUUUAUUUGACGAUACCAUUGUAUGCCUGUCUGAACACCCACACUACUCAGUGAAUCCUACAUCUGAUACAAUAGGAAUGGUAUCGAUUUCAUUUUGAUUAACAUUGCAUUCGUUGGUUGUCUCCAAGGAAAAGAAGACUCUCAACUUCAUCGAGAAAAUCCUUCCCGACAAGUGCGACAAUAUUCGUUCGCGUAGUGUCUCUGGAGGAUCAAUAUGCAGACAAGAAAAGAGCAAAAAUAAUUUCGGUGAAAAAGUGAUGGUGAGCAAAGAGGUGACGGGGCGAGGUUGACGUUCAUACAAACGGCGCCGUAGGGCUCCCAAUGGGCUACGAGAGAAAAAGAGAAAUAUAAAAAGUAUGUUGCAUUGGAAACGCUCGCCAGGUCGGUCGGUGAAACUCUCUUCCUACUUCCAAUUGAGCUUCAAUAAUUCGUGGCCUUGCGCCAGGAGUCCAAUACUCCUGGGUAAAACUAGUUGUCGUCACAUUGAGGGUAAAAUUUGAUGGUGCAGAAAAGAGAAGAGGUAUUGAA